AGCAUAUACAUAAAUAUUAUUAUCCAUAAAAAUGCCCAGUUCGUCGAUGCUUUAAACAGUGUCAAUUGUGGCAAAAAAAUUGAGGAAAUAUUGCGUAAAUAUAAUCAAUUAUUUUCUUACAGAUAUGUAUAUACCAAAUUAAAUUAGUUUAAGCGAAUCAAUCUUUUGGGAAUAUAUGUAUGUACAUACAUACAUACAUCUACAAACUUGACAAUAACCGAAAUGAAUAUGGAUCUGGAGCCAGCAAAGAAAUGGGAUUGCUCAAAGUGCCAAAAAACGUUUAAAACAGACAACGAGUUGACAAAGCACACGGUCAUGCACGAUCCUGAUGCUAAGGUCAAAUGUGAGGUUUGCGGCAAAAUUUCCAAAAACAGACUUUCCUUAUCCUGCCACAUGUCGACUAUGCACAACAAUCGGAAGCGGAUACGUUGUGACGCUUGUCACAGAGUGUUUACCACUUCUACGACUUUAAGGCGACAUAUUGACGCCCUUCACAGCACGAGGGAACGACCUCGCUUUCCAUGAACGUUUCUUGGCUGUGAGAAAACCUACUUAAACAAGGGACACCUUUCGGAACACGUUAGAAUUGAGCAUGCCGAGAAUCCGGUCCGGGAAAUUUGAAUAGACACAAGAUAACGCAUUUCCAAAAAUCAACCCGCGACAGGUUACACUGUCACGUUUGUACUCAGGAGGAGUACGUACGACCUUUUCAAUGCCAGAUCUUGAUGCCCUUUGGAUAUGUUG
Folsomia candida is the source of this 744-nucleotide long non-coding RNA. RefSeq lists it as uncharacterized. NCBI's taxonomy places the organism in Eukaryota, Metazoa, Arthropoda, Collembola, Entomobryomorpha, Isotomidae. The record is from RefSeq and is a predicted model, not a curated record. The transcript is spliced from 3 exons.